This 1218-nucleotide long non-coding RNA is filed under the name Androctonus crassicauda. Lineage: Eukaryota; Metazoa; Arthropoda; Arachnida; Scorpiones; Buthidae. The record is from RNAcentral.
UAUUACUAAUAAUUUUUAUUUUGUGACUAUGAUCAUUGCGUGCUCAACAAAAAAAAAAAACAAAAAAACCACUAAAAUGAGCCUUUGGACCAUACUCAUAGCUCACCUCCUAUCUCUCUGUUUUCGUUUUAAAACUCUUCCUGUAUCAAUUAUUAGUGAGUUUUUAAUUUUAUUUACGCAAAACUUAGAUAUUGUAUCGAUUUAUAGUGUUCGUAUUUGCAUUUUCUUCGUGUGUUCGUCCAAAAAAAAAAAAAAAAAAUUUAAAAAUGAAGUGAAAUAAUAAAGCGAUUGUUAUCUCCGUUACUGUGUGUAACGGUGGUGACUGAAUUAUGGACGAGAACUUUCCAUUUCUUUAAUGACUUUCACACUAAUUACGCGUUUAAGACGCACAGAAACACGACUUUUUUUAUUUUUUUUGUCGAUACAAUAAUUGCUAAAAGUCGUUUAUUGAUUGUUUUUCUAGCGAUAAAUUGGCGUUUUUUUUUGUUUCGAGUAAACAGUUUCGAAAGACAACUCGUUAAAUUUCACAGUUUCGUUUAUUGUCGUUUCAAUCGAGUUUACGUAAUUAAACGGAGGAGUUAUUGGGUCGAGAAGUCGGAUUUACGUAUUUUCUAACGCCAACAGACCAAAAAUGGGUGUCGUUAUGCGGUGAUGCAGAAGAAGAAGAAGAAGCAGCAAUUCUUUUUACGUGUAACAAUCGUUAUUCACUUAUCGAUUUGAGUAGCAAUUUGGAAGUGUAGACUCCGGUGGCUUUCUGUAUGCAAAUUUACUCGUCGGCGCCAAGAAAUUAAUGAAGCAGCUAUGAGAAGAAUGAGAGACGGUGAUGGGUGGUCGUUAAUUGCCUUUUCUCCGACGAUAAUUGGCCCUCUUCUGCCCCGUAUUAAUUGCGAUUCCGUUUCCAUCUUCGUUUUUUUUUUUUUUUAAUUUAGUUUCUCACACACGUGUUAAACACGUGCAGUCGUAGCUUGAAUGACCGCUCGCGCCAAGCCACGUGAGUUUAUAGUAAAAAGAAUAACAAACGCGCGAAGUACGUGCGAUCGCAUUUGAAUGACGGCGCGCGCGCGCGAGACACGUGCAUUCGUAGUAAGUAGAGUAAAGUGCGUACGAGGCACGUGAGGUGAAUGAUAAAUAUAAAUACUACAAUGCAAAUUUUGUAUUUUUUUUACUCUAUCGUAUAAUGAUGCAACGAAAAAACAAAAAAAAAAAAAAAAAGUAAAA